RNAcentral lists this ribosomal RNA (169 nucleotides) under uncultured bacterium. RNAcentral's name for it is "partial 16S ribosomal RNA". It matches the Rfam family "Bacterial small subunit ribosomal RNA", at positions 338 to 524 of the family's 1533-position model. The record is from RNAcentral.
CCUACGGGAGGCAGCAGUAGGGAACUUUCCACAAUGGGCGAAAGCCUGAUGGAGCAACGCCGCGUGCAGGAUGAAUGCCUUCGGGUUGUAAACUGCUUUUAUAUGUGAAGAAUAUGACGGUAGCAUAUGAAUAAGGAUCGGCUAACUCCGUGCCAGCAGCCGCGGUAAU